Molecule: ribosomal RNA, 536 nt
Filed under: uncultured eukaryote
Lineage: Eukaryota
Description: eukaryotic LSU rRNA
Rfam family: 5.8S ribosomal RNA (bases 146-298)
Source: RNAcentral
UUCCGUAGGUGAACCUGCGGAAGGAUCAUUAACACUAAUCCAUCUCAACUCAACCAAGCCCUCAGUUGUAGCAGUUUCGGCUGCUGCAGCACAUUUCAAAACUAAUUAAACAAAGACGCCUAAUUAAGCUUAACCACAAAAACCAAAUUCUCAACGGUGGAUGUCUUGGUUCCCACGACGAUGAAGAACGCAGCGAAGUGCGAUAAGCAGUGCGAAUUGCAGAACCGUGAGUCAUCAGAUUUUUGAACGCAACUGGCGCCUUGCGGGGUCACCCGCGGGCACGCCUGGUCCAGUGUCUUGUUCUCUCCUCACCCAAAUCAUAAUGCGAGUGAUGCCCUUCACUCGUUAAGCAUGAAAGCACUCUGUGUCCUGCGAGCAGCCUUCGGGUUGCACUCAAUGCAGCAGUCACAUUGCUCACAAUGUGAACUCAUUGAGAGUAGGCGCAGUGGAGCAAUAGCUCCCAGUGCUUAGAAACCCCAACUUUGGUACAGUAUCUGGGCUCAGGCGGGACUACCCGCUGAACUUAAGCAUAUCAA